Molecule: ribosomal RNA, 497 nt
Filed under: uncultured bacterium
Lineage: Bacteria
Description: partial 16S ribosomal RNA
Rfam family: Bacterial small subunit ribosomal RNA
Source: RNAcentral
GACGAACGCUGGCGGCGUGCCUAAUACAUGCAAGUUGAGCGCUGAAGGUUGGUACUUGUACCAACUGGAUGAGCAGCGAACGGGUGAGUAACGCGUGGGGAAUCUGCCUUUGAGCGGGGGACAACAUUUGGAAACGAAUGCUAAUACCGCAUAAAAACUUUAAACACAAGUUUUAAGUUUGAAAGAUGCAAUUGCAUCACUCAAAGAUGAUCCCGCGUUGUAUUAGCUAGUUGGUGAGGUAAAGGCUCACCAAGGCGAUGAUACAUAGCCGACCUGAGAGGGUGAUCGGCCACAUUGGGACUGAGACACGGCCCAAACUCCUACGGGAGGCAGCAGUAGGGAAUCUUCGGCAAUGGACGAAAGUCUGACCGAGCAACGCCGCGUGAGUGAAGAAGGUUUUCGGAUCGUAAAACUCUGUUGGUAGAGAAGAACGUUGGUGAGAGUGGAAAGCUCAUCAAGUGACGGUAACUACCCAGAAAGGGACGGCUAACUACAUG